UACGAAGGGGGGCUAGCGUUGUUCGGAAUUACUGGGCGUAAAGCGCACGUAGGCGGAUAUUUAAGUCAGGGGUGAAAUCCCGGGGCUCAACCCCGGAACUGCCUUUGAUACUGGGUAUCUAGAGUCCGGAAGAGGUGAGUGGAAUUCCGAGUGUAGAGGUGAAAUUCGUAGAUAUUCGGAGGAACACCAGUGGCGAAGGCGGCUCACUGGUCCGGUACUGACGCUGAGGUGCGAAAGCGUGGGGAGCAAACAGG
Molecule: ribosomal RNA, 254 nt
Filed under: uncultured bacterium
Lineage: Bacteria
Description: partial 16S ribosomal RNA
Rfam family: Bacterial small subunit ribosomal RNA
Source: RNAcentral